CAUUAUCGUACAAUGGGGCUACGAGGGCUGUCGCUGACUUUUCUAAACAAAAAAGUCGUGCACGCCCGAGUGCUCUCACAUACAAAUAUCCAUCCUCUCACCCCUUUGUGCAUCACCGCGUGGGUCGUCCAUCCCCUUCCUCGGAGAAGGGGGGGUUGCUCACGUUUUUAAUACUUUGAACACCCAUUCGAACGUAGUGUAGGAUGUCCUUUGCACGAUGUCGUGCGAUCAAUACAACUUUCAACAACGGAUCUCUUGGCUCUCGCAUCGAUGAAGAACGCAGCGAAAUGCGAUACGUAAUGUGAAUUGCAGAAUUCAGUGAAUCAUCGAAUCUUUGAACGCACCUUGCGCCCCUUGGCAUUCCGAGGGGCACACCCGUUUGAGUGUCGUGAACAUCCUCAACCUGCUUGGUUUUUCUCAAACCAAGUAAGGCUUGGAAUUUGGAGGUUUUCUGCUGGCCUCCGAAGCCAGCUCCUCUUAAAUGUAUUAGUGGGAUCCGCUUUGCUUAGAUCCUCGACGUUGAUAAGAUGUUUCUACGUCUUGGGUUUUGCUCGGGAAAUGGCCUGCUUCUAACUGUCCCAUCAGGGACAAUGUUCGAGCCAGACUGCCCUUCACGGGGUGGGAAGCUUUUGACCUACGAGACCUUGACCUC
Molecule: ribosomal RNA, 652 nt
Filed under: Russula aucarum
Lineage: Eukaryota; Fungi; Basidiomycota; Agaricomycetes; Russulales; Russulaceae
Description: eukaryotic LSU rRNA
Rfam family: 5.8S ribosomal RNA (bases 236-389)
Source: RNAcentral